AUUGAACGCUGGCGGCAGGCCUAACACAUGCAAGUCGAGCGCGCGGCGGACGGGUGAGUAAUGUCUGGGAAACUGCCUGAUGGAGGGGGAUAACUACUGGAAACGGUAGCUAAUACCGCAUACCAUCAGAUGUGCCCAGAUGGGAUUAGCGAGUAGGUGGGGUAACGGCCCACCUAGGCGACGAGCCCUAGCUGGUCUGAGAGGAUGACUAGCCCCCCUGGAACUGAGACACGGUCCAUACUCCUACGGGAGGCAGCAGUGGGGAAUAUUGCACAAUGGGCGCAAUCCUGAUGCAGCCAUGCCGCGUGUGUGAAGAAGGCCUUCGGGUUGUAAAGCACUUUCAGCGGGGAGGCGUUACCCGCAGAAGAAGCACCGGCUAACUCCGUGCCAGCAGCCGCGGUAAUAC
This 406-nucleotide ribosomal RNA is filed under the name uncultured bacterium. Its description in RNAcentral is "partial 16S ribosomal RNA". It matches the Rfam family "Bacterial small subunit ribosomal RNA", at positions 30 to 526 of the family's 1533-position model. The record is from RNAcentral.